AUCGCUUCUCGGCCUUUUGGCUAAGAUCAAGUGUUGAAAGAAAUAGUAUAUAUAUAUAUAUAUAUAUAUAUAUAUAUAUAUAUAUAUAUAUAUAUAUAUAUGAUAUUUGAGGCAUAUGUUGAAGGUCU
RNAcentral lists this small RNA (128 nucleotides) under Marmota monax (woodchuck). Lineage: Eukaryota; Metazoa; Chordata; Mammalia; Rodentia; Sciuridae. The record is from RNAcentral.